RNAcentral lists this long non-coding RNA (11884 nucleotides) under Nicotiana tabacum (common tobacco). Its description in RNAcentral is "long non-coding RNA (NTAB_LNC019274)". Lineage: Eukaryota; Viridiplantae; Streptophyta; Magnoliopsida; Solanales; Solanaceae. The record is from RNAcentral.
GGCAUUACCGAGUUUUGUGGUUCUAGCACGGUCGCUCAACUGUUAUAUUCGGAUUAAUUAUCUGAUUUUAAACAAUUAUGAACCUAUGUGCAGAUUUUAGUUUUAACCGCCUUUAUUCAUUUGUUUUGAAGAAAAUUGCAACAUUAUUAAAACACAUCUCGAACCAAGUCACAUAAAUGCACCAGUGGUUUUUGACAUAUCGUAACAUCGUUGAGAUUUGGAUUUGGGCCAAAUAAAUGCGCACCCGAAUUUAGGAAAGUAAUAUUAUUAAAUGACGUGCCUAAAGCAACUACGCGUUUUAUGAAUAUUAAAGGCCUAAGCAUGCUCCUAAGGAUCCAAAAACACAUCCAUAAGCAAUGUCUAAACAACAUACAACUCCAAUCAUUACAAAAUUCAAUUGACAUUGUUACUCAAUCCCAAUAUCACUUUAGUCUAAUCCACUUUCAUGUUUAGCCCACAAAUCGCACAACUUAUUACUUCUCGUCAAUUUUCCAACUUAUAUUCUUGCAUCCUAAUUUCGAAACAUCUUCUUUUUACCAAAAACGUUUCUUAAGACUUGAUUCACCUUCAUGUUAUCAACUACAUGGAGCAAUUGCUCAAAACACAGUAAACUCCGCUAAGGCUACACACCAUAUCAACCACAAACUAUUUAAAUCAAACUCAGACAAUUUACACAAAAUUAAAUAUAUAAACACAGAAUCGUACCAAGAGCAAAGUAAAGAGCAUCAACUCACAUAAUCAGCCAAAUAAAAUUAUGAGCAGACAAGGUCGCUAAAAUUGGAAAAUGUAGGAACAUGGACCUUAAGACAGAAACUAACAAAGCUAAAAUGAAAAUUCAUCCAAAAUCUCAAAUCGUCACAAACUCAUGUUUUACUCGGUUCUUAAUUUCACCUUUUCGAACUCAGCGAAGACGUAUUCAAUAAAAUGAAGAGUGUCCAUUGACUGUCAUUAAUCAGUGAAAUUCCAUAAUAGUAACCGAUUACUUAUUCAAUUUCAGCAACUAGGCUCGACAUAAUUAUUGGAACAAAGCAGCCAUUCGAUAGUCACAUAUCAACGAAUCCACAUGAUCACACCAAAACAGAGCAAGAAAAACUGAGGGACGAGACUAACCUGAAAGAAUCUUUAAAAACAAAUUUCAGAAUCGAAAAUAACCUCGCCUCAAUCUCAAUACCCAAAUCGUAAACUCAGUCGGACUAAACGGUGGAAAUUCUGAACUCCACGGCCCCUCAAUCAGUUUCCAUGAAAGAACAGUCAAAACAAGACUGAAUCUCUUUUUUUCUUAUUUUUGAAUUAAACCAAACUAAAAAACAAACUAAAAUCAAAGAUGGAAAACCAAAAUCAGAAGAUUAAUUAAGGUUGAAUUAAGUGUGAAGAGGGUGAGGAAUGACUGAUUUUUUGGGGGAUAAACAGUGGUGAUUUGCUGCGCUGGUUCAGGGAGGUUGAAGAUGAAGGGGUGUCGCCGUUUUCCAGCCACUCGCCGGUGAGGUAGUAGCGGAACGAAGGGGUGAGGCGUGGGGUUUUCUGGUUUGUCGGUUCUACUGCUAAUGGCGUCGAUGGUCCGUUGAAGAAGAAGAGAGAGACGAUAUGGGUAGGGUUAUUUUGGUCGAAGAUGGCUGAUGAUGAAGGAUGAGCUCAAAGGGGCGGGGGUAUGUGAAGAAGACGAUCCGAAGGGGGGAGGGGUCAUGUAUUUGUAGCGCAGCUUUUGUGUGAAUAUGCGUUACUUUUUUUUUCUUUUAGAUUUUUUAAGCCUUACUUUAUAGAUAGAGUCUAGGUUUAGGUAUAUUUUUAUGUAUUUAGCCUAUUAGUCCCUAGAUCUUUUGUGUAUUAGGUCCUUAGGAACUUUUCAUUUUUUUUAUUUGUUUUUGUUCCAAAGAAGAGUCUAGAAGGGUCCCUAGGCUUAACGGACUAAUCCGAAUUGGGCUCUAAAACUCUUAAAAUUGUGAUACAACACCUUAAUUGACUCAUUUUAAAAUAAGAUAAAAAUACUACCCCAUGCAAAAUCUAACAUGAAACUAUUAUAUUUUUUUUAUUUUCAAAAUUAUAUAAAGAUGAAAAUAUGGUACUAUUUUUGUAUUUUUUUUAAAGAUACAUACUAAAAUAUUUUUGUAAUUUUUAUUUUUCUUGUAAUAAAAUAAAGUAAAAGAGUAAAAAUGAGUUGAAAUCGCUAUAUUAGGCCUAAAUUAAAUAUUUUACGCUAAAAUAUAAAAAAUCUUGGGGAGGGUCAAAAAUCACAUGUCUACAGUUGUCCCUCUUUGACUGGAAGGACGAAGUAUUUUCUGACAAAGAAUGACUAGACAGUUUUUUUGACCCGACCCUUAUUUGGAGAGAGUAAAACUAAGUGAGAGGGGAAUGUGAUUGAGCUCUGGUAUCUGAGCUGCCUACAUAUCCUUGGCUAUAAAGGAAUCAGGCCACGCGUAGUUCAAAGGUGAGUGAGGUGAUGGAGUAUACCGAGGUGGAGUGCCGAUCGAGGUGCCAUUUCGUCGGGGUUACGGUCCGUGGUCCUGCUAUUACAUCAAAAAAGGAAAAAGAAUAACUAAACCUGUCAACUAUGAGUUACAAAAUUCCUAUCUAUAAGUCUUCUGAAACUUGAUCUUGAGUCUUGAAUGGUUCUUCAUGCAGACUUUAGAUUUGAACCUUGAUGCUUGCUAGUUUCAGGUGCUAGUUCAUUCUUCUUCAGCUUUUCAGAUUAAAAUCGAACACACCAUGCUUGUGACCUCUUGUCUCAGCUUCUGUUAAUCAUCUCGGACUGUUGACUCACAUUCUUGCUGUUGCUGCUACUGCUUACUGAACCCCCUUAUUACACCAUGAUAAAAUAAAAGAAGCUAGCCUAGACUAUGAUCUAUGCAUUACAAAAUCCUAUCUAUCUUCAAACUUGCUCUUGUGGUUCCUGUUGCCUUGUUGACUUGUAUUCUCCCUAUGGAAUCCCCUUGUUGUCACCUUGAAUUAUAAUCUGAGAUGCUUCUCUUUCACCGGGUAGACCCCACUUGCUGAGACUUGACUGUAUUCCCUUGUUCUCCAGGUGGGCUCCUGAUUCCUAAACUUGAAAAAUGUAUUCCCUUGUUCUCUAGGUGGGCGCCUAAUUACUAAACUUGAAAUGUAUUCCCUUAUUUUCUAGGUUGACGCCUUAUUACCAAAACUUGAAAUGUAUUCCCUUGUUCUCCAGGUGGGCGCCUUAUUACCAAACCUUGAACUGUAUUCCCUUGUUCUCCAUGUGGGCGCCUAAUUACCAAAACUUGAAAUAUAUUCCCUUGUUUUUCAGGUGGGCGCCUGAUUUCAACAAAAUAGACAAAAACAAAGAAACUUUUCUGCCCUAGUUUGGCAUGUUACCAAAUAUUAGUAAGANNNNNNNNNNNNNNNNNNGGGCGCCUAAUUACCAAAACUUGAAAGGUAUUCCCUUGUUCCCCAGGUGGGCGCCUAAUUACCAAAACUUGAAAUAUAUUCCAUUGUUCUCCAGGUGGGCGCCUGAUUUCCACAAAAUAGAAAUGUAUUCCCUUAUUCUCCAGGUGGACGCCUAAUUACCAAAACAUGAAAUGUAUUCCCUUGUUCUCCAGGUGGGCGCCUGAUUACCAAAACUUGAAAUGAAUUCCCUUGUUCUUCAGGUGGGCACCUGAUUGUUGAAGCUUGAAAUGUAUUCCCUUGUUCUCCAGGUGGGCGCCUGAUUACCAAAACAUGAAAUGUAUUCCUUUGUUCUUCAGGUGGGCGCCUGAUUCAACAAAAUAAACAAAACAAAGAACACUUCUGCCCUAGUUUAGUAGUUGGGCACAUAUAUGAGUGUUAAACUGAAUCAUAUUACCACAUAUUACUAAAAAUUUAAAAGCUAGGUCCCAUUAUCCGGGGGGUUCUGACAACUCUUAACUAAAAGACAAUUUUAAAUCUAAGUUAUAUCUUUUAAAAGUAUGACUUUUGCUAAAUGUUGUUAUCUAAGAAGGUCUUAAAACUACAUCUCAUUAUCCAGGAGGGUCCUGACAAUCGAAAAUCAAGUAUUAUCUUAAGCGUGACAUCUUUUACGGCUGAAUUAUACUACCCUACAACUAAACUUAUGUUAACUCUUGUUAUCCAGUGGAAAUCCUAAAGUUAGGUCCCGUUAUUCAGGAGGGUCCUGAAAACUCCUAAUUGAAUCCUAUCUCAAACAUGCAAACUUUGAAGCCUACUUAUGUUCCUUUGGGGCGCACUUAUACUAGAUCUUGCUACUCAUAAUUGUUAAUUUUAAACUAGAUCUCAUUUUCCAGGAGGGUCCUGAAAACUUUAAAUUAAAUCCCAUUAUCCAGGCAGGUCCUGAGAGUUUAUGGUCAAACCUGUCUGGUGCUUGCUUUCCUUGCGGUCGGUUUCUCCAAAACAAACAAAAUUUCCUGCCCCUGUUUCAAAUCAAAGAAAAAAAUCUUGCCAGUUUAAAGAUACGGUGGUUGGUUUGUGGCCUUGACUUUGAGGGCGGUUGCUCCUUCACUUCUCACGAUAACUGAUUUCCACUCGAAGACCUUGCUUGUUCCUUGACUAGUCACUUUCUCUGUCAUCCUUAUCACAGAAAAUACCUCUUCUCUGUUCAGACCCAAUACCCUUUUUUUGUUGCAUUACUCAUGAACUGACUUUUACCAACCUUUGUGUCUCACAUGAAUCCCAAAGCACGUCAAUUAACGUCCACUCAAUGUGCAUGUUGUUCUUUCUUGACUUAACCCACUGGCAUUGUCCUUGAGGUCUAUUGCUCUUUCACUUGCCAUGAUAACUUUAAUUUUUGCUUGGAAGACCUUGCUUGUCACUGGUUAACCACUUUCUUUGUUAAUCUUAUCACAGAAAAUACCUUUGAUCUAUUCACCAUACACCCUCCAUUUGUUGCAUUGUUCAUGAAUUGAUAUAUACCAAACCUUUGUGUUNNNNNNNNNNNNNNNNNNNNNNNNNNNNNNNNNNNNNNNNNNNNNNNNNNNNNNNNNNNNNNNNNNNNNNNNNNNNNNNNNNNNNNNNNNNNNNNNNNNNNNNNNNNNNNNNNNNNNNNNNNNNNNNNNNNNNNNNNNNNNNNNNNNNNNNNNNNNNGCAUUAUUCCUGAAUUGAUAUGUACCAAACCUUUGUAUAUCACAGGUAUCCCAAAGCAUGUUGAUUAUAACCAGCUCAAUGCGCUUGUUGUUCUUUUCUGACAUAUGACAUUUUGAUGUGUUAGCCAGACUCCUUUUGUGCAAUUGGACAGCUGGUGGCAAAUUUGAAGUCAUUUCUCGCUGGUUCUAACCGCACAGACUCAGGAAGAGGAAGUGAACAAGACAAAAAGAACUGAGUGAAGGACAAUGGAAAAAGAUGAUUUCUAACGAGAAAACUACAAAGUAGAAACCUAUCAGUUGUGGAUACCAACUUUAAUGACCAUGACAUGCACCUCUGGCCUAUUCUGUCAAGUAAGCCUGAUGUUCGACUCUUGUUGUACCUUUAAACCGUGAAACUGGGCUUCAAUGCUCUGAUUAUCCAAUCUGAUUCACAACCCUUAUUCGACUUGUAGUGCCCGGAGAGUUUUCACCAUCAAGCCUCUCUCAUUUGUUCUUUCUCUCAACUUAUCGUCGCCUCAAGGUGCCCGUGGAGGUUUUCACCAAUAAGACUCUCUCAUUUUUUAUUUCUCUCAACUUUCAUCGCCUUACGGUGCCCGUGACGGUUUUCACCUAUAAGACUCUCUUAUUUUUUAUUUUUCCCUGCUUGGACCAAAGUGUUGCCCCUGAUAUGCAUUACCUCUCAUUGUUUGACCUGGCAUUUCUCGAAGACUGAUCAGAAGGUCUUUCUUUGGACCGUAAUGUGGGCUUUUUGAUAGGGUUAGAAAGAAAGGGUAUCCAAGGCUUAAAACAAUUCAAGUGGGUUCAAAAUUAUAACUUUCAGAAUCAGAUUUCUUACAACAACCACAAUUUCUGCCCCAGUUUCUUACUUGGGGACUUUUUGGAUUUUUUUUACGGGACCGAACCGUGAGGCUGCCUACGUAUACUUAAAAGGAAUCAGGUCAAACGUAGUUCAUGUCAUAGGAAUUACUUUGUUUGUUGUGAUUUUUCAUUUCUUUUCCUUUUCUCUUAUUUCCUUCUUUUUCUUUUUGUUGUUGUUUUUCUUCUCUUUUUUUCCUUUUUUUCUUCUUUUUUUUAUUUUCUCUUUCUUCUUCUUUUUCUUCUCUCUCUUUUCAUUCUUUUUCUUUUCUCUUUUUCCUUUACUCAUCUUUCACGCUUGUAUUUCUGAUCUUUACUACUAAUUCCGAAAGAGGGAUAUGAAAGAAAAUAUAUAAGGAUCAAAGGGGUAACGAAGGAUAAAGUGUUUAGAUAGCAGAAUAAAAUGUCUUUGUCAUUCCAAUAUUCAAAACAUGCCAAGUACAAACAAAUACAAUUUAACCAAAGAAAUCAUACAUAAUAUCUUUUGACCGCAUCAAAAUUGAUAGCUAUUUUUACACAUUUGCCUUCUAUAUCUGUUAAAUACAAAGCACCAUUGGAGAACACUCUCGUUACGAUGAACGUCCCCUGCCAAUUUGGGGAAAACUUGCCUUUAGCUUCAACCUGUUGCGACAGGAUGCGUUUUAAUAGUACUCUUUUUGUUCUAUCUGCCCUAGUUUCACACAAUUCGGGCUUGAAGUGAUCUCCAAAUGCCUUUACUUAUUUCCCUCAAAUGUACCUAUCAUCUUCAAAAUUGUUUCAAUGUUUCAUGACUAAACUAACUUUUAAGACUAGGCCAAGAAUUACGCAUGCAUAUCAUGUCACUAGAGUCAGCAGGAAAAGAACUAUAAAAGGAGGAGAGAAUUAAACAAAAAAUGAUUAGAAAUAACAGAAGACAAGAAAUUGCAUUAGACAGACGAUAAAAUAAUUCGAACAAUAAAACAAGCAAACUAAACAAGGGUUACAAUCUUGGAACAAACCUAGACAACACCUAAUGAGUUACAACGACUAAACAAACCAGGCAAAAUAAAAGGAUAAAAGGGUUUGAGUCACAAGACAAUAUCCAGAUUACAACCCUGAAAUCACCCAGACAAUAGAAAUGACAAUAAAAUAAAUCACCAAGACUCCUCCCUGGCUAGCCAAGAAAGGAGCGUCUUUCCAAUUACCAAGCUCGACAUCUUAGCCACUGAGUUCUGCAUCGAUAUUGCCAAGACCAUUACCAACUUCAACAUUAUCAACUUUAGUCAACAAGUUCCUAAGAGGAUUUGCAUGCUCCCUAUCACUAUCAUUCAUCACAAUUACCCUUUCUUGAAUCAUUCUUUAUAUUUCCCCUUUUGAAAGAGUAACAAUCUUAAAUGCUAUGCCCUAGGACAUUAGAGUGGUACUUGCAUCGUACAGCAGGAUCAAAGCCUUUUGCAUAUAGGUCUGGAGUAUAGCCGAGGAGCGGCUUAAUCAGGCCAGAAUGCUUUAACUUUUCAAAUAAGAUUGUAUAGGAUUCUCCGAUGGGCGUGAAAUCAUUUUCGUUUUUCAGUAGUCUUUUCAUUUUAUACUCUGGCUUCAGUUGGGACCUUUUGCUGGCAGGUGGUUGAUAUGCCUAAAGGGGCGGGUGAGAUGUCACGACCCAAAAAUCCCUCCAAAGAAGUGGUGAUGGCACCUAGUUCUAAACUAGGUAAGCCUAGCAUUUACUGUAAUAAUAUGGGUAUUCACUAACUUUAAAUUAAAUUACUCUGAACAAAAUACAAUUCCCAAAACCAGUAGUACAAGUCAUAAGCUUUUUCUAAGAGUUAUACACAAUAAGUACAUCACUGUUCCGAACAAAAGGAACAUAUGGAAAUAAGUACAAUUGAAGGUGACUCCGAGGGCCACGAAGGCUGCAGCAGGUUUAUCUCGAGUCUCCACUGCAACGAACAACUACUAUUGAUCAAAUACCUGGAUCUGUACACAAAAAUAUACAAAAGUAUAAUAUCAGCACAACCGACCCCAUGUGCUGGUAAGUGCCUAGCCUAACCUCGGCGAAGUAGUGACGAGGCUAGAACCAGACUACCGAAUAAACCUGUGCCAUAUAGCGUACAAAAAAUAAUAGGAAGCAGGUAACAACGAUGGAAACAAUGAUCAACCAGUGAGAUAAAUAGCAGGCAACAAGAACACCAUAAAUGUUUCUCAACAAAUAAUAAAUACAAGUGUAAUCAAUUAAUCAAGUCCUUCAAAUAUAAAUCUUUCGCCUAUAAAUCCUUCCAGUAAUAAUCUCUAAGAUAAUAUGUUUUUCAAUAAAUAUAUUUUGAAUAUAUUUCCUUCAAAUAGAUAUCUUUCAGAUAAGCAUAUUUCGGAUAUAAUUCUUUCGAAUAAAGGUCACCUUGUGACACCUCAUUUCAUAAUCAUAAAUAAUAUAGGUCUCAGCCCACUUUCGAAAUUUCACAGCACCUCGUACCCACAUUUAUGUUACAACCGCACGGACAGCUCACUUGCCAUUAAAUAAAACCAUAAUAUUUCCCCGGCACCUUGUGCCCACAUAUUUUUGUCUCACAUUGCACAACAAUAUUCUCAUGUUACUCAGCUCAUAGGUUCCAUAACCCAAUACAAUUAAGAAUGUUCAAGGAGCCUCAUUCACUUAACAUAAAGUAGAGUACAACUUCCAACCCAAUUAGGAAAUCAACAAGAAAAGAUGAAGUUAUUUUUAUAAAUCAUUUGAUAAAGAAAAUACCAUUUUCAAUUAAAGUACAAUAUCGAAGGAAUCAUUACCUUAACACAAAAAAUUAAUAAAUCAAAACAUAGUAGAAAUUCCUUUUUAAGUAAAGUACAACCUCAAAUGGUUUAAGGAAACUUUAGUCGAGAAAUCAAUUGAGCUAAGAAUGUAACAAUUCUUGAAAUUUGAACUAUUGAACAUAUUAAAAUAAUAAGGUGAAGUAUUGUAAACACUAUGGAUUCCAACACAAAGGACUACAACAGUAAAGUGAUCUAAACAGUUAAUACACUUGAAUUGUUAGUAACAAGUAAACACAGCAAACAGAAAGUACACGUCAUCACCCUUCGUGCUUUAACACUCUCUCACCAAAACAAUACACGGCAUCACCCUUCGUGCUUUAACACUCUCUCACCAAAAUAAUACACGGCAUCACUCUUCGUGUUUUACACUCUUUCUNACCCANGCANNNNNNNNNNNNNGUGCUUUAUCACCCUUUCCUCACCAUAUCAAACAACAAUCACAGAAGAGGGGCAAGGAAGUAAACUGGAUAAUAAUCGGGAUUCCAAUAAGGGCACAGCAAUUAACAAUAAAAUCCCUGGCAAUGAAUAUAUCAACAAUUUCACAAUUAUCUCGGCAAGGGAAUAAUUCAAUAAUUCUUUCUCUUUCUUUCUUUUCUUACUUAGUAAUUCAUUUUAUAACUUGAGCCAACGCUCCUCAAAUAUUAAAUAUCACCUUUGCUUUCACAUGCCCUUCACAACAUAUAGAAGUCAUCAUUUAAUCAUGGAAGAUAUAACAAAAUUCGAAUAUUCGCGAUAUAAGGACUUACGGUCAUGCUAGACACCAACGUAUAUAUACUCGUCACCAUGCCUAUACGUUGUACUCGACAAAUAGCAAGUAGCAAUUAAGACUCAACUCCUAUUCCCUCAAGCUAAGGUUAGACCAAACACUUACCUCGAACUUCCACGGCCAACUCAAGCCUUUGCCUCGCGAAUUCAUGUCCGAAAUUCUCAAAUCUAGUCAUAAACAAUUUGAUUCAGUCAAUAAAAAUUAUAAGAAUUAAUUACAUAUGAAUUUCUACAUUUUCCAUUAAAAUCCGAAAUUUAACUCAAAAUUGCCCAUGGGGCCCACGUCUCAGAAUCCGAUGAAAGUAGCAGAAUAUGAACACCCAUUCAACCACGAGUCCAACCAUACCAAAAUUCUCCAAUUCUGAUACCAUUUGGUCCUUCAAAUCAUCAUUUUACAUUUUUGAAAGGNNNNNNNNNNNNNNNNNNNNNNNNNNNNNNNNNNNNNNNNNNNNNNNNNNNNNNNNNNNNNNNNNNNNNNNNNNNNNNNNNNNNNNNNNNNNNNNNNNNNNNNNNNNNNNNNNNNNNNNNNNNNNNNNNNNNNNNNNNNNNNNNNNNNNNNNNNCCAAAUCUGAGUUAGAAUCACUUACCCCGACCAAUUUCUUGAAAAACCUUCGAAAAAUCUCAAAAAUCCGAGCUCUUUAGGUUAAAAUAUCAAAUAAAACCCAAAAUCUCGUAUUUAUAGAGUACCCCUCGGAUUCCAACACCGCUGACCGCAUAAAAAUGACCGGGGUCCGCGCAAAACCAGCCGGGUCCGCGCAGGCCUUGCUCUGUAGGGACAGGCUUUAGUAAUUUGGCCAUAACCUUUUCUACAAAUAUCCGAAUUGCGAUAUUUUUACCUUUCUAGAAACUAGACACAAAGAUCUACAACUUUCGUUUUUGCAUCACCUCAAAUUUCCUUGAAGAUAAAAAAUAUGAGUUUCCAAAUUAGGACCAGUAACCUGCAGUCUUCAGUGACCGCGGUCAGCGCUAGGCCAGCACGCCUAGCGCGAAAAAGAGCGUGGUCCGUGCCACAACAGUUGCCCCCUCCAUUUUCUAAGUUCCGGGGUAUCCGUACUCGCUCAAAACUCACCCGAAACACACCCGAGGCCCCCAGGACCUCAACCAAAAGCACUAACGCACCCUAAACAUUAUUCAACCUCGUUCCAAUCAUCAAAACACCUCGACUAACACCAAAAAUCAUCAAAUCACAUCGAAGAAAAUCACACCAACGCCUUUAUUCAUUUUUUUGAAGAAAAUUGCAACGUUAUUAAAACACGUCUCAAACCACGUCACAUAAAUACACUCGUGGUUUUUGACAUAUCUUAACAUCGUUGAGAUUUGGAUUUGGGUCACAUAAAUACGCACCCAAAUUUAGGAAGGUAAUAUUAUUAAAUGACGCGACUAAAGCAACUACGCGUUUUAUGAAUAUUAAAGGCCUAAGCAUGCUCCUAAGGAUCCAAAACCACAUCCAUAAGCAAGGUCUAAACAACGUACAACUCCAAUCCUUAAAAAAUUCAAUUGACAUCGUUACUCAAUCCCAAUAUCACUUUAGUCUAAUCCACUUUCAUUUUUAGCCCACAAAUCACACAACCUAUUACUUCUCGUCAAUUUUCCAACUUAUAUUCUUGCAUCUUAAUUUCGAAACAUCUUCUUUUACCAAAAGAGUGUCUUAAUACUUGAUUCACCUUCAUGUUAUCAACUACAUGGAGCAAUUGCUCAAAACACAGUAAACUCUGCUAAGGUUACACAACAUAUCAACCACAAACUAUUUAAUUCAAACUCAGACAAUUUACACAAAAUUAAGUAUAUAAACACAGAAUCGUACCAAGAGCAAAGUAAAGAGCAUCAGCUCACAUAAUCAGUCAAAUAAAAUUAUGAGCAGACAAGGUCGCUAAAAUUGGAAAAUGUAGGGACAUGGACCUCAAGACAGAAACGAACAAAGCUAAAAUGAAAAUUCAUCCAAAAGCUCAAAUCAUCACAAAUUCAUGUUUUACUCAGUUCUUAAUUUUCACCUUUUCGAACUCGGCGAAGACGUAUUCAAUAAAAUGAAGAGUGUCCAUUGACUGUCAUUAAUCAGUGAAAUUCCAAAAUAGUAAUCGAUUACUUAUUCAGUUUCAGCAACUAGGCUCGACAUAAUUACUGGAACAAAGCAGCCAUUUGAUAGUCACAUAUCAACGGAUCCACAUGAUAACACCAAAACGGAGCAAGAAAAACGGAGGGACGAGACUAACCUGAAACAAUCUUCAAAAAGAAAUUUCAGAAUCGAAAAUAACCUCGCCUCAAUCUCAAUACCCAAAUCGUAAACUCAGUCGGACUGAACAGUGGAAAUUCCGAACUCUACGGCCUCUCAAUUAGUUUCCACGAAAGAAUGGUCAAAACACGACUGAAUCUCUUUUUAUGAUUUUUGAAUUAAAUUAAACUAAAAAACAAACCGAAACCAAAGAUGGAAAACCAAAAUCAGAAGAUUAAUUAAGGUUGAAUUAAGUGUGAAGAGGGUGAGG